Molecule: ribosomal RNA, 192 nt
Filed under: Triticum aestivum (bread wheat)
Lineage: Eukaryota; Viridiplantae; Streptophyta; Magnoliopsida; Poales; Poaceae
Description: partial small subunit ribosomal RNA
Source: RNAcentral
AUGUCGGGAGAACGUUCUUUUGCUGAUAUUAUUACCAGUAUUCGAUACUGGGUUAUUCAUAGCAUUACUAUACCUUCCCUAUUCAUUGCGGGUUGGUUAUUUGUCAGUACGGGUUUAGCUUAUGACGUGUUUGGAAGUCCUAGGCCAAACGAGUAUUUCACGGAAAGCCGACAAGGAACCUUCUCCAUCUGA